CCGAGUACCGGGUCUCUCAGGCCCAAUACUCCCACCCUUUUGUGUACCUUACCAUUUCUUCGUUGCCUUGGCGGGGUUGAUCCUCUUCUUUUUCUUUAAAAAGAGGGGGGAACUCGCCAGGGGAACACCCUUUAAACUCUUUUAUGAAUCGAGUCGUCUGAGAAAAAUAAACAAAUAAAUUA
This 182-nucleotide unclassified non-coding RNA is filed under the name uncultured Dothideomycetes. Its description in RNAcentral is "sequence contains ITS1". The record is from RNAcentral. Lineage: Eukaryota; Fungi; Ascomycota; Dothideomycetes.